CUACGUGCCAGCAGCCGCGGUAAUACGUAGGGUGCAAGCGUUAAUCGGAAUUACUGGGCGUAAAGCGAGCGCAGACGGUUACUUAAGCAGGAUGUGAAAUCCCCGGGCUCAACCUGGGAACUGCGUUCUGAACUGGGUGACUAGAGUGUGUCAGAGGGAGGUAGAAUUCCACGUGUAGCAGUGAAAUGCGUAGAGAUGUGGAGGAAUACCGAUGGCGAAGGCAGCCUCCUGGGAUAACACUGACGUUCAUGCUCGAAAGCGUGGGUAGCAAACAGGAUUAGAUACCCUGGUAGUCCACGCCCUAAACGAUGUCAAUUAGCUGUUGGGCAACUUGAUUGCUUAGUAGCGUAGCUAACGCGUGAAAUUGACCGCCUGGGGAGUACGGUCGCAAGAUUAAAACUCAAAGGAAUUGACGGGGACCCGCACAAGCGGUGGAUGAUGUGGAUUAAUUCGAUGCAACGCGAAGAACCUUACCKGUCUUGACAU
Molecule: ribosomal RNA, 486 nt
Filed under: uncultured bacterium
Lineage: Bacteria
Description: bacterial SSU rRNA
Rfam family: Bacterial small subunit ribosomal RNA
Source: RNAcentral